CCUACGGGAGGCAGCAGUAGGGAAUCUUCCACAAUGGGCGCAAGCCUGAUGGAGCAACACCGCGUGAGUGAAGAAGGGUUUCGGCUCGUAAAGCUCUGUUGUUGGAGAAGAACGUGCGUGAGAGUAACUGUUCACGCAGUGACGGUAUCCAACCAGAAAGUCACGGCUAACUACGUGCCAGCAGCCGCGGUAAUACGUAGGUGGCAAGCGUUAUCCGGAUUUAUUGGGCGUAAAGCGAGCGCAGGCGGUUGCUUAGGUCUGAUGUGAAAGCCUUCGGCUUAACCGAAGAAGUGCAUCGGAAACCGGGCAACUUGAGUGCAGAAGAGGACAGUGGAACUCCAUGUGUAGCGGUGGAAUGCGUAGAGAUAUGGAAGAACACCAGUGGCGAAGGCGGCUGUCUGGUCUGCAACUGACGCUGAGGCUCGAAAGCAUGGGUAGCGAACAGGAUUAGAUACCCCAGUAGUC
RNAcentral lists this ribosomal RNA (465 nucleotides) under uncultured bacterium. RNAcentral describes it as "partial 16S ribosomal RNA". It matches the Rfam family "Bacterial small subunit ribosomal RNA", at positions 338 to 795 of the family's 1533-position model. The record is from RNAcentral.